This is a transfer RNA of Pseudozyma hubeiensis SY62, 104 nucleotides long. It matches the Rfam family "tRNA". From Rfam's summary of the family: Transfer RNA (tRNA) molecules are approximately 80 nucleotides in length. Lineage: Eukaryota; Fungi; Basidiomycota; Ustilaginomycetes; Ustilaginales; Ustilaginaceae. The record is from Rfam.
GGUUUCUUGGCGCAGUUGGUUAGCGCGUCUCCUUAACAAUUCUGGUCAGUUCAGAUCGUUAGGGCUUACGGAGGAGGUCGCCGGUUCGAACCCGGCAGAAAUCA